CAAAAAAAAAAAAAAAAAAGCUAGACUCUGAAGUCAGUUUGCCAGGGUCUGUGAGUGGAAAUGUUACAAAGAAGCUUCUCAUGAAAACUUGACUCUCAAAUGAGCCAAAGGCAGUGAUGCCCAGAAAUGGAGUUGUGGUAACACUUAAAGGAAUGUAUCAGUUGUCUAUUGCUCUAUAAUGAACCCCAAAACUUAGUAGCUUCAAAUGAUUAGCUUAUUCUUUCACACGGUCUCCGUGGAUCAGGAGUCAAGGGCAACUUAAUUGGGUGCUUCUCACUUGGAGUCUCUUGUGAGACUACAGUCACCUGAGGUUUAGACUGGGGCUGGAGGACCCACUUCCCAGAUGGCUCACCCACCUGGCUGUCGGCAGGAGGCUGCAGUUCCUCUCCAUGUGGUCGUCUUCACAGGUCUGGACUUGGGAGAGGGAUCUGGACUGAAGUGGAGGAAUCCAGUACAAGUAGUGGAGCCGUCUGAAAUCUUGCAUUUCAGAAUGGAUGGGUAUAUCAUACCUUAUUUAACCAGCAUCCUAUUGUUGGACUGUUAGGUUUUUCUAUCAAAAAUAACCCUGUGAUGAGCCUCUUGAAAUUGCUGUCUUUGCAUGGAUCCACUAUAUUUCCUUUGGAUAAUUCCAAAAACGAACAAUGGGUGUGUGUGAGUUAAAGCGUUUAACUUAUUUCCAAAGUAACUUCCAUCCCCGUGUGUGAGAAGGCUCACCUGCGCCUUU
This 724-nucleotide long non-coding RNA is filed under the name Homo sapiens (human). RNAcentral's name for it is "HSALNT0298861". Lineage: Eukaryota; Metazoa; Chordata; Mammalia; Primates; Hominidae. The record is from RNAcentral.